RNAcentral lists this ribosomal RNA (136 nucleotides) under uncultured Desulfobacca sp. RNAcentral's name for it is "partial 16S ribosomal RNA". It matches the Rfam family "Bacterial small subunit ribosomal RNA", at positions 1250 to 1382 of the family's 1533-position model. The record is from RNAcentral. Lineage: Bacteria; Pseudomonadati; Thermodesulfobacteriota; Desulfobaccia; Desulfobaccales; Desulfobaccaceae.
CCAAACCUGGUGAAGGGGAGCCUAAUCCCAAAAAGCCGUCCUCAGUUCGGAUCGGAGUCUGCAACUCGACUCCGUGAAGUUGGAAUCGCUAGUAAUCGUGGAUCAGCAUGCCACGGUGAAUACGUUCCCGGGCCUU